CGGCGCGCCUAACACAUGCAAGUCGAACGGAGCGUACCGGCUGAAGCCCUUCGGGGUGGAAAUUGGUAUUGCUUAGUGGCGAACGGGUGAGUAACACGUGAGCAACCUGCCCUAGAGUGGGGGACAACAUCUGGAAACGGAUGCUAAUACCGCAUAAGACCACAGUGCCGAGUGACACAGUGGCCAAAGGAUUUAUUCGCUUUAGGAUGGGCUCGCGCCUGAUUAGCUAGUUGGUAAGGUAAUGGCUUACCAAGGCAACGAUCAGUAGCCGGACUGAGAGGUCGAUCGGCCACAUUGGGACUGAGACACGGCCCAGACUCCUACGGGAGGCAGCAGUGGGGAAUAUUGGGCAAUGGGCGAAAGCCUGACCCAGCGACGCCGCGUGAGGGAAGAAGGUUUUCGGAUUGUAAACCUCUGUCUUCGGGGAAGAUAAUGACGGUACCCGAGGAGGAAGCCACGGCUAACUACGUGCCAGCCGCCGCAGUAAGAC
RNAcentral lists this ribosomal RNA (490 nucleotides) under uncultured bacterium. RNAcentral's name for it is "bacterial SSU rRNA". It matches the Rfam family "Bacterial small subunit ribosomal RNA", at positions 40 to 526 of the family's 1533-position model. The record is from RNAcentral.